This 25-nucleotide non-coding RNA is filed under the name Mus musculus (house mouse). The record is from RNAcentral. Lineage: Eukaryota; Metazoa; Chordata; Mammalia; Rodentia; Muridae.
UGUGACAACCUGGCCAUGUUUUGGG